Molecule: unclassified non-coding RNA, 873 nt
Filed under: Hevea brasiliensis (rubber tree)
Lineage: Eukaryota; Viridiplantae; Streptophyta; Magnoliopsida; Malpighiales; Euphorbiaceae
Source: RNAcentral
UCUCUCUCUCUGUCUCUCUCCCUCUCCGUUUUGGUGUGCGUCUUUCACUCUUUUUCUCUCUCUUUCUCUAGAAAGUCUCUCCCAAUCUGCAGACUAAGAUCUGGAGACAGAAUGUGAGUGAGUGCAAAUUUUCUUUUUGAAAGAAGCUGAAAUUUUAGGGUUCUUAGGCCCAUGCUUUUCUUGGAUCCUUCCUCUCUCUUUAUUUCCUGCUUCUUUCCGGGAUUUCCGAUCUAGAUUUCUUGCAGUUUACGUGUUCUUUCUUUCUUUUUUUAAACAAUUCCGACACUCAUUUUUAAUGAGUAAAAAUGGAGGCAUUUCGGCUUAAGAAGCCCAAUAUUGCAGCCUUCACUGAUGAUUUCAGCCCCAGCCGUAGACUCAGAAAAGUGUGCUCCUGCAUUUCGUAUGUGGAGACUUCUGAAAAUAUGAAAUUUUCUUUUCGCCUUCUGUCUGGUGUUUCACCAAAACAAGAAAACAAAAGUGUUUCUGGCUCUUUUUUAAGUUCUGACGUUUGAGGCUCUAAGUUGAUUUGAACUCAGACAAUUCCUACAUUUUCCCCUUUAUAUAUUUCGAAACGGGCAGGUUCAAAAACAGAGAAGCUUUUCAAAACUGGCCUCUGAUUCUAAUUCUCAAAAUAGUGAUACUACAGGCGAACAUUUGGUGCGCUGAUCUACUUGUUUUUGUUCACUGAUUAUAAGUUUUGAUAAAGUCCUUUCACUGUACAAAUCAAUAGAAAAGCAAUCCUUCUAACCUAUGCAAAUUGUGAUUUUCUUCUUAUUCUCCUUUCUUUUUGUUUUAUAUUUUUAAUUGUUUAUUGACACUCAAUUGUCAUCAAUAUCAUUUGGCUCUUGCAGUUCACGUGUGAAUUGGGGUGGA